RNAcentral lists this ribosomal RNA (721 nucleotides) under uncultured bacterium. Its description in RNAcentral is "bacterial SSU rRNA". It matches the Rfam family "Bacterial small subunit ribosomal RNA", at positions 69 to 762 of the family's 1533-position model. The record is from RNAcentral.
CUUCUUUUUCACCGGAGCUUGCUCCACCGGAAAAAGAGGAGUGGCGAACGGGUGAGUAACACGUGGGUAACCUGCCCAUCAGAAGGGGAUAACACUUGGAAACAGGUGCUAAUACCGUAUAACAAUCAAAACCGCAUGGUUUUGAUUUGAAAGGCGCUUUCGGGUGUCGCUGAUGGAUGGACCCGCGGUGCAUUAGCUAGUUGGUGAGGUAACGGCUCACCAAGGCCACGAUGCAUAGCCGACCUGAGAGGGUGAUCGGCCACAUUGGGACUGAGACACGGCCCAAACUCCUACGGGAGGCAGCAGUAGGGAAUCUUCGGCAAUGGACGAAAGUCUGACCGAGCAACGCCGCGUGAGUGAAGAAGGUUUUCGGAUCGUAAAACUCUGUUGUUAGAGAAGAACAAGGAUGAGAGUAACUGUUCAUCCCUUGACGGUAUCUAACCAGAAAGCCACGGCUAACUACGUGCCAGCAGCCGCGGUAAUACGUAGGUGGCAAGCGUUGUCCGGAUUUAUUGGGCGUAAAGCGAGCGCAGGCGGUUUCUUAAGUCUGAUGUGAAAGCCCCCGGCUCAACCGGGGAGGGUCAUUGGAAACUGGGAGACUUGAGUGCAGAAGAGGAGAGUGGAAUUCCAUGUGUAGCGGUGAAAUGCGUAGAUAUAUGGAGGAACACCAGUGGCGAAGGCGGCUCUCUGGUCUGUAACUGACGCUGAGGCUCGAAAGCGU